Schizosaccharomyces pombe (fission yeast) is the source of this 208-nucleotide non-coding RNA. Lineage: Eukaryota; Fungi; Ascomycota; Schizosaccharomycetes; Schizosaccharomycetales; Schizosaccharomycetaceae. The record is from the annotation of a GenBank genome assembly.
UCUUCGUUUUUUAUACGUUCAUAAACUCGAAGGGCCAUAUCGGUCAAAAAUGGAGGCUGGGAGCGAAGAAGAUAAUAAGUGCGGUUGGCAUUCAAGAUCUUACCGUAAUAGGUAAUUUCAAAAAUAAAAUUCUCCACCAUACCUUUCGCCAAGUCAACCCGAUCGUCAACAAGCAAACCCAGUGAUUCAAAGUAAGAGUCCCAGCCGU